Molecule: unclassified non-coding RNA, 203 nt
Filed under: Hevea brasiliensis (rubber tree)
Lineage: Eukaryota; Viridiplantae; Streptophyta; Magnoliopsida; Malpighiales; Euphorbiaceae
Source: RNAcentral
AGGAGGUUGGUUAUGCGAUUCGAUUUGAGGACUGCACGGGGCCUGAGACUGUCAUCAAGUACAUGACCGAAGGUAUGCUUUUGAUGGAAAUUCUCGUGGAUGACAACCUCUUGCAGUACUCGGUGAUUAUGCUCGAUGAAGCCCAUGAGAGGACCAUUUAUACUGAUGUUCUGUUUGGAUUGCUGAAGCAGCUCGUGAAGCGG